Molecule: small nucleolar RNA, 138 nt
Organism: Sorex araneus (European shrew)
Lineage: Eukaryota; Metazoa; Chordata; Mammalia; Eulipotyphla; Soricidae
Gene: SNORA70
Rfam family: Small nucleolar RNA SNORA70
About the family: snoRNA U70 seems to be exclusive to mammals and is a member of the H/ACA class of snoRNA which contain H (ANANNA) and ACA box motifs. H/ACA box snoRNAs are involved in the conversion of uridines to pseudouridines (5-ribosyluracil) a constituent of structural RNAs (transfer, ribosomal, small nuclear, and small nucleolar).
Source: Ensembl
GGGCAGCUAAUUAAGCCGACCGUGCUCUCUGCCCUGUGGGGCCCGGUGUGCAAUGGCUGCCGACAGCAAGCGGCUCCCUGGGUAGUGUACGCAGCCUGUGGCUUGUACAGGCUGUGAGAAGGGACCCGGGAGACAGUC